Molecule: non-coding RNA, 584 nt
Organism: Camellia sinensis
Lineage: Eukaryota; Viridiplantae; Streptophyta; Magnoliopsida; Ericales; Theaceae
Source: RefSeq, a predicted model, not a curated record
GGAGAAAGAAGUAAAGUUAGAGAAGUUUAUUUUGAAGUUCAAAAGUUGGUUUUCGGCUUACUUUCGGCAUGCCAAAACCAUCCAUUCUGGGAAGAAGUGAGACAAAUAGGCCAUGUAAGAUGAAGUACGAAGUAAGUUGAAGAGAUUGGCGAAAGAAUGAAGUAAAACCGUUAAGAAUUAAGAAAAUUAUGGGGUUCGAAAGAUGGUUCGAAGAAAUGUCCGAGAUGGCGUGUGAGUAGUGAACCAAAAAUUAGGCCGUGAGGUGAAUCUAAUGAUAGAAAAAUAAGAUAAAACGGAGUUACGAUGAAAAAGAUACGAGUAUUUGAACUGGGGACAUUGAAACUAAAAUUCUGGGUCUCUCUGUCGUGCAUGCUGUGGCUGUUGGAGAAGAUGAACUAAAUUUUAUCCAGUGUUUCUCGGCUCAUGGUGCUACGGUGCAUCCUAGCACAUUUAGGUUAAUCGAGUGGUCCUAUGACUUUGGGGAUGACCACCCUUAGGUUUUUCGACGUGUAGAAUCCAUUUUUGGGGUUAGAUCUUGCAAAUUCUGAGUCUAAGAUGAUGAUCAACAACUAAAAGUCCUAAGA